RNAcentral lists this ribosomal RNA (299 nucleotides) under Rhizophagus intraradices. The record is from RNAcentral. Lineage: Eukaryota; Fungi; Glomeromycota; Glomeromycetes; Glomerales; Glomeraceae.
CAGUCGUACCGGCGGAUAAUCAGCCUUUCGGGUGCGAUUCUGUGGGGCGUGAGGAGCUUAACCGCCUUCAUGUUUUGCAUAUUCGUGCACAUUUGGUGUACUUGUCCGUGUGCUGGGUCAACAUCAAUUUCGGUCGCCAUAAAAUGACUGGAGGGAAUGUAGCUUUGGUCUCGUAUCGAAGUGUUAUAGACUCUGGUAGAUGUGACGAUUGGGAUUGGAGGAUUGCAACGGAUACCCUUCGGGGCUACUCGUCUGAUCUCUGAAGGUUGCGUCCGGUGCCGAAAGCGUGCUUACGGUCA